Molecule: ribosomal RNA, 301 nt
Filed under: uncultured bacterium
Lineage: Bacteria
Description: bacterial SSU rRNA
Rfam family: Bacterial small subunit ribosomal RNA
Source: RNAcentral
GAUUAACGCUGGCGGCAUGCCUAAUACAUGCAAAUCGAACGAAGCCUUUUGGCUUAGUGGCGAACGGGUGAGUAACACGUAGGUAACCUACCUCAGAGUUUGGAAUAACAGUUGGAAACGAUUGCUAAUACCAAAUAACUUACGAGAAGACAUCUUCUUGUUAUAAAAGAUCCUCAUGGGAUCGCUUUGAGAGGGGCCUGCGGCGCAUUAGUUAGUUGGUGAGGUAACGGCUCACCAAGACAAUGAUGCGUAGCCGGACUGAGAGGUUGAACGGCCACACUGGGACUGAGACACGGCCCAG